CCUACGGGUGGCAGCAGUGAGGAAUAUUGGUCAAUGGGCGCGAGCCUGAACCAGCCAAGUCGCGUGAGGGAGGACUGCCCUACGGGUUGUAAACCUCUUUUGCCUGGGAGCAAAGGGCGUCACGUGUGGCGCCACUCAUAGUACCCGGAGAAAAGGCAUCGGCAAACUCCGUCCCAGCAGCGGCGGUAAUACGUGGGAUGCGAGGGUUAUCCGGAUUUAUUGGGUUUAAGGGGUGCGUAGGCGGAUCGUUAAGUCAGUGGUCAAAUUGAGGGGCUCAACCCCUUCCCGCCAUUGAAACUGGCGCUCUUGAGUGGAAGAGAAGUAUGCGGAAUGCGUGGUGUAGCGGUGAAAUGCAUAGAUAUCACGCAGAACCCCGAUUGCGAAGGCAGCAUGCCGGCUUCCGACUGACGCUGAAGCACGAAAGCGUGGGGAUCGAACAGGAUUAGAUACCCCUGUAGUC
RNAcentral lists this ribosomal RNA (460 nucleotides) under uncultured bacterium. RNAcentral's name for it is "partial 16S ribosomal RNA". It matches the Rfam family "Bacterial small subunit ribosomal RNA", at positions 338 to 795 of the family's 1533-position model. The record is from RNAcentral.